This 776-nucleotide ribosomal RNA is filed under the name uncultured Neocallimastigales. RNAcentral's name for it is "partial large subunit ribosomal RNA". It matches the Rfam family "Eukaryotic large subunit ribosomal RNA", at positions 26 to 629 of the family's 3401-position model. Lineage: Eukaryota; Fungi; Neocallimastigomycota; Neocallimastigomycetes; Neocallimastigales. The record is from RNAcentral.
CGCAUCUGUGCAUGCAGCAUAUCAAUAAGCGGAGGAAAAGAAACUAACAAGGAUUCCCUUAGUAACGGCGAGUGAAGCGGGAAGAGCUCAAAUUUGAAAUCUUCAAGGUUUUACCUUGACGAAUUGUAGUUUAAAGAAGUGUUUUCUGUUGAAGUUUUGGUAAAAGUUCUUUGGAAUAGGACAUCAUAGAGGGUGAGAAUCCCGUAUUUGACCAUUAUUUUCAGCUGUGUGAUACACUUUCAAAGAGUCGGAUUGUUUGGGAAUGCAGUCCAAAAUGGGUGGUAAAUUUCAUCUAAAGCUAAAUAUUGGCGAGAGACCGAUAGCGAACAAGUACCGUGAGGGAAAGAUGAAAAGAACUUUGAAAAGAGAGUUAAACAGUACGUGAAAUUGUCAAAAGGGAAGCGUUUGACACCAGUGUUGUUUUCUCGAAAAUCAAUUAAAAAGAGUUAGAUUUUGUUGUGUAUUGACCUUAACAGCUUGCAUUUCAAUUUUCUUGCUUUUUUUAAUGCACUUUUCGUUUAACAAGUCGAACAUCAGUUUCUUUUGUUGUAAAAAGGUCAUUGGAAGGUGGCUUUCUUUUCGGAGAAAGUGUUUAUAGCCUUUGACUCCUGCAAUCGGAGAGACUGAGGUCUGCAGCGUAGAUCCUUCAGGGGUUAGAUACAUUUGUGCUAAGUUAUAGCUUUUUAUAGACAACUUGUUGACUAUGAUUAGUCUUGUAGCUUACUCGCUUAUGCUAUUUUACCUACGCUUAGGAUGUUGAUGUGAUACUGCGAGCA